Molecule: non-coding RNA, 222 nt
Filed under: Clostridium sp.
Lineage: Bacteria; Bacillati; Bacillota; Clostridia; Eubacteriales; Clostridiaceae
Description: T-box sequence
Rfam family: T-box leader
About the family: Uncharged tRNA acts as the effector for transcription antitermination of genes in the T-box leader family. T-boxes are found upstream of many aminoacyl-tRNA synthetase genes and some amino acid biosynthetic genes usually in Gram-positive bacteria. The anticodon of a specific tRNA base pairs to a specifier sequence within the T-box motif, and the NCCA acceptor tail of the tRNA base pairs to a conserved bulge in the T-box antiterminator hairpin.
Source: RNAcentral
AAAAAAUCGAUGAAAAGAAAAGUAGAUAUUUAAGAGUAUCUUCAGCGAGUGAAGGAUGGUGGAAGCUUCAUGAGAAAUUGAUAUCGAAAGACAUCUUGGAGAUGCUUACUUGAAAUUGAGUAGGGUAAGACGUGUUCUAGCGUUAAUAGAUUGAGAUAACUUUUUAAUUAUUUAAUUAAGUUAAAUUAGGAUGGUACCGUGAACAUAGCCUUCGCUCCUAUA